UUCUCUCCUCCUCGCCUUUGUUCUUCAUUUUUCUGCUCAACGCCACUGUCGUCCUUUCGUUCCUUUCCCCACUGUCGUCCGUCCGCCACUGGAAAGUGAGUGAUUGCAAUUUUUCUUCCCUUACUUCUCUACUGUGGGCUGUCGGUGUGAUUUCUACUUCUCACCCUCUUCGAAGAACAGCUGGGCGAAAUUAUUCUCCUCUUCUUCGGUGGUCCAUCAGCUAAAAUGUGACAGCUCCCACUGCACUUUGGUAGAGGAGGAUUGAGUUCAGAAUGUUGGUUGCUAACGGCAAUUUUAUUAGUCAUUGGCAUGCCAUAGUACACCCAACUAGCACAGUACUUGUAGGAGGUGCUAACCCCAUACGCUGGCCAACACACAUGAAACAAAGGGAUGAAUAUUCGUGAGUAUUGUACUCACGCUUAUUUCGUGGGCUUCAUGUUUGUGCUUGUUUCGUGGCUUCUAGCCGCGCUUGAUUAUUUUGUGGCUUUAAGCCACACUUGUUGAUUAUUUACCCUCGUAAACUGUGAAUCUACGUUUGAUUGGUUAUUUACCCUCAUGUACUAUGUGUCCGCGC
Long non-coding RNA from Prosopis cineraria, 574 nucleotides. RefSeq lists it as uncharacterized. The transcript is spliced from 3 exons. NCBI's taxonomy places the organism in Eukaryota, Viridiplantae, Streptophyta, Magnoliopsida, Fabales, Fabaceae. The record is from RefSeq and is a predicted model, not a curated record.